GAUGAAGAACGUAGCGAAAUGCGAUAAGUAAUGUGAAUUGCAGAAUUCAGUGAAUCAUCGAAUCUUUGAACGCACAUUGCGCCCUUUGGUAUUCCAAAGGGCAUGCCUGUUCGAGCGUCAUUUGUACCCUCAAGCUUUGCUUGGUGUUGGGCGUCUUGUCUCUAGCUUUGCUGGAGACUCGCCUUAAAGUAAUUGGCAGCCGGCCUACUGGUUUCGGAGCGCAGCACAAGUCGCACUCUCUAUCAGCAAAGGUCUAGCAUCCACUAAGCCUUUUUUUCAACUUUUGACCUCGGAUCAGGUAGGGAUACCCGCUGAACUUAAGCAUAUCAAUAAGCGGAGGA
RNAcentral lists this unclassified non-coding RNA (341 nucleotides) under soil metagenome. RNAcentral's name for it is "partial contains 5.8S ribosomal RNA, internal transcribed spacer 2, and large subunit ribosomal RNA". The stretch from base 1 to 120 matches the Rfam family "5.8S ribosomal RNA", at positions 35 to 154 of the family's 154-position model. The record is from RNAcentral.